RNAcentral lists this ribosomal RNA (253 nucleotides) under uncultured bacterium. RNAcentral's name for it is "partial 16S ribosomal RNA". It matches the Rfam family "Bacterial small subunit ribosomal RNA", at positions 524 to 776 of the family's 1533-position model. The record is from RNAcentral.
UACAGAGGGUGCAAGCGUUAAUCGGAAUUACUGGGCGUAAAGCGUGCGUAGUCGGUUAUUUAAGUCGGGCGUGAAAGCCCCGGGCUCAACCUGGGAAUUGCGUUCGAUACUGGAUAGCUAGAGUUCGGAAGAGGGAAGCGGAAUUUCUGGUGUAGCGGUGAAAUGCGCAGAUAUCAGGAAGACCACCGGUGGCGAAGGCGGCUUGCUGGGCCUUACCUGACGCUGAGGAGCGAAAGCGUGGGGAGCGAACAGG